GCCUGGCGAUGGCGCGUGCCUGUAGUCCCAGCUACUCGGGAGGCUGAAGUGGGAGGAUCGCUUGAGCCCGGGAGCUCUGGGCUGUAGUGCGCUAUGCCGAUGUAGUGUCCACACUAAGUUCAGCAUCAAUAUGGUGACCUGCCGGGAGCGGGGGACCACCAGGUUGCCUAAGGAGGGGUGAACCAGCCCAGGUCCAAAACGGAGCAGGUCAAAACUCCUGUGCUGAUCAGUAGUGGGACAGAGCCUCUGAAUAGCUGCUGCACUCCAGCCUGGGCAACAUAGCGAGACCCUGUAUCU
This 297-nucleotide signal recognition particle RNA is filed under the name Cebus imitator (Panamanian white-faced capuchin). RNAcentral describes it as "Metazoan signal recognition particle RNA (ENSCCAG00000008539.1)". It matches the Rfam family "Metazoan signal recognition particle RNA". Rfam says of the family: The signal recognition particle (SRP) is a universally conserved ribonucleoprotein. It is involved in the co-translational targeting of proteins to membranes. The eukaryotic SRP consists of a 300-nucleotide 7S RNA and six proteins: SRPs 72, 68, 54, 19, 14, and 9. The record is from RNAcentral. Lineage: Eukaryota; Metazoa; Chordata; Mammalia; Primates; Cebidae.